GAAAACUACAAAAAUAGAAUCGUAUUUAAAACGGAUAAAUGUUUCCCUUUUUAAAUUUUGAGUAAAUAAGUGAGUAUUUACUUAAGGCUAAAAUUAGGUGAUUAGUAAGUGUAUUUUGAUUUUGAUUUUUUUUUUUUUAAAAAGAGAACCAAUGAGUUUUUGCCAUGUGGAAAUUCCAAGAUGCCUUCUUAUCUUUUGCAACAACUUGCACAUGGCUUUUCACGCACAUCAGUAACAAAUUAUUUUGCCACAAAUAGAGCAUAUUCUGGUGGGACCCAUUUAAAAAGAUUUUUUUCAUCUUGGCAUUUUCUGGGUGCUACUCCAUAGAUAUAGGAGAUAUACAUAGACACACUCACAAAAAAAUACAUAGAGAGGGACGGACGGACAGAUCAGAAAACAAAAAAAAAAAAAAAAUGCUUCUUCAUAUUUUUUACUCACCUGUAACCAACACCACCACCGCAUCAUCUGCCGCCAGGGGCGGAGCCACAUUGGCUCCGGGGUUCAUUUGAACUUUUUCGGUGAAAAAUUACAAUGUAUUUUUAAAGUUAAAAUUAGAUGUUGAACUCCUGACUUCUUCAUGUAUUUACCUUUUAGAAUUUUUGAACCCCUAGACGAAAAUCCUGGCUCCGCCACUAUCCCGCCAUUAAACCACCACCCCCACUGAUCUUUUUCAACCACCAGCCCAUCGUCGCCACCCACACCAGAAACUAAAUGACCACUGUGAGCCACCAUCCUCAAACCCAUUUCUCCAUCUGAGACCGCCGUUCACCACCGUCAUCUGCACCUCUCACCGCCACCAUCCUAAACAUACCAUUAAACCAUCGUGAAACAACCACCAGAAACCGCCGUAUGCCACAAUCGUACCCCAUCCCUAUUUUCUACAAAACACCAAUAUAACCACCAAACACCAUUAAAGUUCUGGGUGUUACGGUUUAAAACAAAAGAAGUCAAUUCAGUGACGAGUUUUUGUCGGGUUUUUGGUUUACGUCAAGGUCUCCGAUUGGCAGCUCCGUCAGUCGGGUUUGUUUCCGAUCCUGACUCAAUUUUUGGGUCCAGCUUUUGGCUAUGGAUUGAUUGUUGAAGUUCAUUUUUCGAUUGGCAAAUGCCAAAAUAUUGAAGGCAUCUACUACUGUAGAGUGUCACAUGAACUAGACGGAGGGAGCAGCAAUAAUUAGCUAAAAAAUUGGUACAAAGUUAAGCAUUUAACUCAAGCUUAACCGAAAUUAUUGCGGGAAUGCCGUAUUAUUAGCGGACCAGCAUAGCAAUUUAACCCAGCCGACUAACAGAUCCCUAAAUUUGAAAGAACAAUGGAAAUUGUUGUCUAUCUCCACGGUAUUGCUAAUAAGGUUGAUUUGUGGUUUUGCAUCGAAGUGCCGGUAUUGACAAAGGAUGAUAUUCAUCACAAAUUGACAUACAAAAAGAUUUCUCCCGUUGCGAAGCUACUUCGACGUGCUUAUGGAUGGGCAGGAGAAUGGGACGUUACUGGUAACAACAUCUAAUAUGCUGGUGGAUACGCGACUGAUCGAGGGAAGAUUAUCCCUUAUAUGGAAUUGAUUAAACAUAACAUGAUGACACAAGAUAAUGCUGUUGAUUCUUGGGAAAGAGUAAUCUUCCCUGAAUCUUCCUCGUAGAUCACUUGUUGUCGUGGCUGUUGGUAGAAAAAAACUACGUAUUGUGGGGGGCGAGCACCGGUCACCUGAUGAUUAUAAAAAAGGCUAAGUGUUGAGGAUGAUGAGCGAUCUGAUCUUCUACGGAGCAAAGGUGGUGAAGUUUACGAUAUCCAAGAAAAAACUUGGAAAUAGCUGGAUGCUGAUUCAAAAUAUUUUAGUCGUUAUAGUAGUUUUAAUCAAGUUGCUGUUGUUGUGGAAAAACAUGGGGAUGAGACGACACAAAUUGUGUUUUAUUGCU
Long non-coding RNA from Lycium barbarum (goji berry), 1908 nucleotides. RefSeq lists it as uncharacterized. The transcript is spliced from 2 exons. The record is from RefSeq and is a predicted model, not a curated record. Lineage: Eukaryota; Viridiplantae; Streptophyta; Magnoliopsida; Solanales; Solanaceae.